Molecule: ribosomal RNA, 244 nt
Filed under: uncultured Filifactor sp.
Lineage: Bacteria; Bacillati; Bacillota; Clostridia; Peptostreptococcales; Filifactoraceae
Description: partial 16S ribosomal RNA
Rfam family: Bacterial small subunit ribosomal RNA
Source: RNAcentral
GAUGAACGCUGGCGGCGUGCUUAACACAUGCAAGUCGAACGAACGACUAUAUUUAGAACCUUUCGGGCGAAGAAAAUAGAAGUUAGUGGCGGACGGGUGCGUAACGCGUGGGUAAUCUGCCUUUGUCAAAGGAAUAACUAUUCGAAAGAAUAGCUAAAACCGUAUAACAUAUUAAUAGGGCAUCCUAAUAAUAUCAAAACUGAGGUGGACAAAGAUGAGCCCGCGUCUGAUUAGCUAGUUGGUG